RNAcentral lists this transfer RNA (75 nucleotides) under Escherichia coli. RNAcentral describes it as "tRNA-Val". It matches the Rfam family "tRNA". From Rfam's summary of the family: Transfer RNA (tRNA) molecules are approximately 80 nucleotides in length. Their secondary structure includes four short double-helical elements and three loops (D, anti-codon, and T loops). Lineage: Bacteria; Pseudomonadati; Pseudomonadota; Gammaproteobacteria; Enterobacterales; Enterobacteriaceae. The record is from RNAcentral.
GGGGUGAUUAGCUCAGCUGGGAGAGCACCUCCCUUACAAGGAGGGGGUCGGCGGUUCGAUCCCGUCAUCACCNNN